UAGUGUGAUCCAGUCUCAUUCAAGAGAGUAUCUUGUGUCCCCAACACCCUUACUUUGCAUUCCAUAUCCCCCAGGUACUGCAACCACUGAGUUCUAAAAUUGCAUACCAAUUACUUAUUGGAUACUGUAAUUUACAUAAUUUGAAUUUUAAUAUUUUCUCGAAAAGUUGAACUUUAUUUUUGUUAAAGCUUAUAACUUCAAUCUGCUUGGUUGUGAGAAUCUAAAAGGUGAGUGAAGUUUGCAUUUCUCCAAUUCUAUGGUUUUGUUGUGUUUCUCUUAUUUAGUGUUGGAUAAUGUGCUGCUGUUGGACAAAAGACCAAGCACUUGAUCUUGUAUGUUUCUUGUAUGUUUCUUUUAUAGGCUUGAAUGUUUUUUUUUAUAGGCUUGUCCUUAAUUUAAUUCUUUGUACAGAAAACAUGUGAAUCUCUCUGCCUUGAGUAUGAAUAUCCAAUCUUUUGUUUUGUGAUGUCAUGGGAAAUAGGCCAUGUGUGUGUUUACUUGAUUAGUGGCUUAGAGACAAUAAAGUGACUUCUAUAAUUAUUUGGAAUGUAUAUCUCACUAUUACAUUAUUUUGGCUUGUUAAGCAAUUUCUUACACCAUCGAAGUGGUUUUAAUGAAGCUACUACUAGUGUGGGGGAAGUAGUGUUGGUUCAACCUGCUCUUAAAUGCAAGGGAAAAGUGAUGAUGAUGAAGGUAUAGCUAUGUAUACAUAUGAAGAACUUGACUUGAAGGAUAAUUAGGUAUAAGAAUUUUGGUGUAUUAUUGUAAUUAGGCUUGCAGCUUGCAGCUAGCACCCCUAGAGUACUUUCAUUUUUUUUUAUUUUGUUUUGUUCUAUUGUACUCUUGAUAUUCCAUUUAUGAAAGAAACAAUACUUGAG
Molecule: long non-coding RNA, 878 nt
Filed under: Prunus dulcis (almond)
Lineage: Eukaryota; Viridiplantae; Streptophyta; Magnoliopsida; Rosales; Rosaceae
Description: sRNA ncRNA
Source: RNAcentral